UCUCCUGUUUUCAGAAAGUCAUGGAGCAAACUUGGAUAUCAGACCUCUGACUAUCUACUUGGCUUGUUCACUGGCACCCUGAGAGACAAGGCCUGAUGCAGAUUUCUGACGUGAUUUGGCAGGUUCUGCAAAAAUAACUGCAAGAGUUGCUGCUUUAUU
Long non-coding RNA from Manacus vitellinus (golden-collared manakin), 159 nucleotides. RefSeq lists it as uncharacterized. NCBI's taxonomy places the organism in Eukaryota, Metazoa, Chordata, Aves, Passeriformes, Pipridae. The transcript is spliced from 3 exons. The record is from RefSeq and is a predicted model, not a curated record.